CCAUAAUUCAUGUGUUCCUGUCAAGGAUUAAUUCCCAGUCCCUUUUUACAGUUCAUCAUCCAUUGUCGGGGAAGCUUUUGUCUAUACUUCUAUUAUUGAUUUAAAUGUCCCCUGUUCAUCUUGCUUAAUUAUAAUUUUUGGUCACAUGACAUUUUUCAAGUCUGAUGCAUACAUGCAAGAAGUGUGCAAUUUUAAAAGUUACUUCGUUGCACUAAAUCUCUACUGAUACACUGCUAAGUGUCUUAUUCCUUCAACAUAUGGUUAUACGUUUUACAUUCAUGUAUUAAGGUCCUCUCUCUUUUGUAUCAGCUACCCUAUAUGUCUUUAACAGUGACAUAUACACAUCUCAAACUGCCACGGAGAAAGAUUGAAGCGUGCAUACGGACUUGCUGGACAAGCUGUAUUUUUUGGUAUGAAGAGAUUGGCUUUCUGGCCAGUAAAAUUAUUUUUAUGGUUCUGGU
This 461-nucleotide long non-coding RNA is filed under the name Hordeum vulgare. RNAcentral's name for it is "long non-coding RNA (HVUL_LNC001440)". The record is from RNAcentral. Lineage: Eukaryota; Viridiplantae; Streptophyta; Magnoliopsida; Poales; Poaceae.